This 465-nucleotide ribosomal RNA is filed under the name Vreelandella stevensii. Its description in RNAcentral is "partial 16S ribosomal RNA". It matches the Rfam family "Bacterial small subunit ribosomal RNA", at positions 338 to 795 of the family's 1533-position model. Lineage: Bacteria; Pseudomonadati; Pseudomonadota; Gammaproteobacteria; Oceanospirillales; Halomonadaceae. The record is from RNAcentral.
CCUACGGGUGGCUGCAGUGGGGAAUAUUGGACAAUGGGCGAAAGCCUGAUCCAGCCAUGCCGCGUGUGUGAAGAAGGCCUUCGGGUUGUAAAGCACUUUCAGUGGGGAAGAAAGCCUUGGGGCUAAUACCCUCGAGGAAGGACAUCACCCACAGAAGAAGCACCGGCUAACUCCGUGCCAGCAGCCGCGGUAAUACGGAGGGUGCGAGCGUUAAUCAGAAUUACUGGGCGUAAAGCGCGCGUAGGCGGUCUGAUAAGCCGGUUGUGAAAGCCCCGGGCUCAACCUGGGAACGGCAUCCGGAACUGUCAGGCUAGAGUGCAGGAGAGGAAGGUAGAAUUCCCGGUGUAGCGGUGAAAUGCGUAGAGAUCGGGAGGAAUACCAGUGGCGAAGGCGGCCUUCUGGACUGACACUGACGCUGAGGUGCGAAAGCGUGGGUAGCAAACAGGAUUAGAUACCCCGGUAGUC